AUGCACGCUGGCGGCGUGCCUCAUCCAUGCAAGUCGCGCGAACGGACGAGAAGCUUGCUUCUCUGAUGUUAGCGGCGGACGGGUGAGUAACACGUGGAUAACCUACCUAUAAGACUGGGAUAACUUCGGGAAACCGGAGCUAAUACCGGAUGAUAUUUUGAACCGCAUGGUUCAAAAGUGAAAGACGGCCUUGCUGUCACUUAUAGAUGGAUCCGCGCUGCAUUAGCUAGUUGGUAAGGUAACGGCUUACCAAGGCAACGAUGCAUAGCCGACCUGAGAGGGUGAUCGGCCACACUGGAACUGAGACACGGUCCAGACUCCUACGGGAGGCAGCAGUAGGGAAUCUUCCGCAAUGGGCGAAAGCCUGACGGAGCAACGCCGCGUGAGUGAUGAAGGUCUUCGGAUCGUAAAACUCUGUUAUUAGGGAAGAACAUAUGUGUAAGUAACUGUGCACAUCUUGACGGUACCUAAUCAGAAAGCCACGGCUAACUACGUG
Molecule: ribosomal RNA, 496 nt
Filed under: uncultured bacterium
Lineage: Bacteria
Description: partial 16S ribosomal RNA
Rfam family: Bacterial small subunit ribosomal RNA
Source: RNAcentral